This 253-nucleotide ribosomal RNA is filed under the name uncultured bacterium. RNAcentral's name for it is "partial 16S ribosomal RNA". It matches the Rfam family "Bacterial small subunit ribosomal RNA", at positions 524 to 776 of the family's 1533-position model. The record is from RNAcentral.
UACGAAGGGGGCUAGCGUUGCUCGGAAUCACUGGGCUUAAAGCGUGUGUAGGCGGAAUGGUAAGUACCUUGUGAAAUCCCACGGCUCAACCGUGGAACUGCUGGGUAUACUGCUUUUCUUGAGCCACUUAGGGGCUGUCGGAACAAACGGUGGAGCGGUGAAAUGCGUAGAUAUCGUUUGGAACGCCAAUGGUGAAAACAGGUCGCUGGGGUUGUGCUGACGCUGAGACACGAAAGCCAGGGGAGCGAACGGG